This is a non-coding RNA of Bos taurus (domestic cattle), 72 nucleotides long. The record is from Rfam. NCBI's taxonomy places the organism in Eukaryota, Metazoa, Chordata, Mammalia, Artiodactyla, Bovidae.
UCCCUGGUAGCUCAGCUGGUAAAGAAUCUGGCAUCAAAGCAGGAGACCCUGGUUCAUUUCCUGGCUUGGGAA